UGUGCCUUGUGGUCAAAUGCUCAGUCGUAUGGUGGCUGCUCAUGCACUACGGAUGUUUGAGCAUGUGCCACGUUGUCUA
This 79-nucleotide microRNA precursor is filed under the name Loxodonta africana (African savanna elephant). RNAcentral's name for it is "mir-105 microRNA precursor family". It matches the Rfam family "mir-105 microRNA precursor family". Lineage: Eukaryota; Metazoa; Chordata; Mammalia; Proboscidea; Elephantidae. The record is from Rfam by way of RNAcentral.